AGAGGCGGUGACGGAAAAGACGAGAGAGGGAGGUGCCUAAGGACGUUCCGUGGAGUGCUUGGGAAAGACGCUAGGCGUUCUAGAGGGCCGGGAAACGGAAAGACUGGAGAAGUUUCCACCCUCACUUUUCCCUCCUGCGCCCCCAGCCGGACCUUACCCAUUUCUUCUUAUAUCGAUGUCUCCGCGGGACCGUCGCGAGGUCCACACGCUUCAGCAGCUCCCGGACACCCCUCAGUGUCAGCGCAGCCAUAUCGGCGUGCUCCACGGGGUAAUUCCGACCGGAACCGCGACAGGAGACUCGCGUGUUCCGGGGAGGUGGUGAGCGCCACCCGGCGGGACACGAGCGAAAAAAGGGAAAGGAAAUACAUCUGACGCUCUCCCAGGACUCCGCGCGCCUCUACAGACUCCGCCCAGCCAGGAGUCCCCUGAAGGCUGCUGGAAAAAGAGCAACCUGGCACCCGGAAUAAUGACUCUGCCUGGAUGCUUAGAGCAGUGCGAGGGACUCCCAAGAAGCCCCUAGCCCACUUGGGGGACCAGGGAGGAUUAGGAGUUGGUGGUUGAGUACCGAAAGAGUUAGCUAGGCGAAAAGGGGCGGGAAGGGCCUCCUAGGCCGAAAUUGCAUGGAGGAAGAUCCUUAGGUAGAGGAAAAUGAGACCAGGCUUGUAGGCAGAAGCAGAUUUGCAGUGAAACAAAUGAAGCUUAAGUUUCGGGACCUGGCCGGGCGUGGUGGCUCACGCCUGUAAUCCCAGCACUUUGGGAGGCCGAGGCGAGCAGAUCACGAGGUCAGGAGAUCGAGACCCUCCUGGCUAACACGGUGAAACCCCGUCUCUACCAAAAAUACAAAAAAUUAGCCGGGCGAGGUUGCUGGCGCCUGCAGUCCCAGCUACUCGGGAAGCUGAGGGAUGGCGUGAACCCGGGAGGCGGAGCUUGCAGUGAGCCCAGAUCGCGCCACUGCACUCCAGCCUGGGCGACAAAGCGAGACUCCGUCUC
This 990-nucleotide long non-coding RNA is filed under the name Homo sapiens (human). RNAcentral's name for it is "non-protein coding lnc-LRRC41-3:1". Lineage: Eukaryota; Metazoa; Chordata; Mammalia; Primates; Hominidae. The record is from RNAcentral.